Molecule: ribosomal RNA, 484 nt
Filed under: uncultured bacterium
Lineage: Bacteria
Description: partial 16S ribosomal RNA
Rfam family: Bacterial small subunit ribosomal RNA
Source: RNAcentral
AUUGAACGCUGGCGGCAGGCCUAACACAUGCAAGUCGAGCGGAUGAAGGGAGCUUGCUCCUGGAUUCAGCGGCGGACGGGUGAGUAAUGCCUAGGAAUCUGCCUGGUAGUGGGGGAUAACGUCCGGAAACGGGCGCUAAUACCGCAUACGUCCUGAGGGAGAAAGUGGGGGAUCUUCGGACCUCACGCUAUCAGAUGAGCCUAGGUCGGAUUAGCUAGUUGGUGGGGUAAAGGCCUACCAAGGCGACGACCCGUAACUGGUCUGAGAGGAUGAUCAGUCACACUGGAACUGAGACACGGUCCAGACUCCUACGGGAGGCAGCAGUGGGGAAUAUUGGACAAAGGGCGAAAGCCUGAUCCAGCCAUGCCGCGUGUGUGAAGAAGGUCUUCGGAUUGUAAAGCACUUUAAGUUGGGAGGAAGGGCAGUAAGUUAAUACCUUGCUGUUUUGACGUUACCAACAGAAUAAGCACCGGCUAACUUCGUG